UUGGUGGUUUUUUGGUGGGGAUGGGGCCUUUUUUGAGUCAUUGGAAGAUCUUGCAUCACAUAGCCCUUGUGAUAAAUGAGCAAUUUAUCACACUGUUCCUCCCAUUGCUGCCAUUGUGACAUCACAACAAAUCAUGACAGCAUAACGGAGCUUUGACAGAGGAGACAUAACCUCAAAACACCAAGCCUGACUUGGCACAUUGAAGAAGGAAGGAAGCUAACAAAUGCGAAGAAGAAACAAGCCAGGCCUAUCACCACCACACGCACCACCAUCACUACAUUCAGUAAUGCACAGGGUAAUGUACAAAAGAGGAACACAUGGAGAAAUAUUUGCGCUUUCCAGAUUAGAAGUUUUGUUGUAAACUUUCCAGAGACUACCAUUGGAAUGCACAGCUCCCUUUAAAACAAGAGGAUGAUGCAAAGAGGCUCCCCCGCCACCCUACACAAGUUUAUCUCCAUUACAUUUGACUGAAGAGCACAUUACUACUUCUGGAUAAGGCAAGUAUCUGGUGGGUCACAGUGGAAGAUGAUGUCUUGGGCAUGAUCCAGCAAGAUUCUUCUUAUGAUAUGAGAACAAAUCGCAAGAAGAAUGUAUAAUGAGAAGAACAAACCAUAAGAAGAAUGUAUAAUGAGAAAAAGGAAACAAACCCAAACUGUGCAUUUUAAAGACUGCCAUUUGGCUGGUAUCUGAUGAAGUGUUUAAAUGAGCCUGAAACAAAUCAUGUUACCCAGAUGUGCAAAUUCAAUUGAAGCCUGCAAUUUCAACAAAUUCAAUUUUACUAAACUGCAAUAUUACCUUCCUUGACAAGACAGCUGCAAAGUUCCCAGCAGAUCAGCCAAAAGCAAAAACAUCCUGCUGUUGAAUAUUCAGAUUUAUUUGAAUAUUUAGAUCAGCUCUCAAGUCAUCCACAGCAGUAGCUGUUGUUGAUAUUUCAUUUGCAAACUGUGCAGGCCAUUUGCUGAGGGUCAGUUUUAUUUUUAUUUGUAACAGGAUAUGCCAUACAUAUUUGAUGUAGCUUUGAUUUCCUGUGUGUUAAAAUGUUUUGUUUUCUCAGCAUGCUAAACAUAAUAAUAAUUUUUAAAAAACUAUCUGGAAUACCUCCAAGAAACCUUCUUUGAAACUCUCACACAUUUGAAACUAAUUCUGCUGUCAGUUUGGCUUCCUUUAUUAAAUGUUCUUUAAGGUAAAAUUAUAUGCAUCAUAUUCCAAACAGUUCUGUUGGAUCUUUAUGCAAUCUGUUGGACAGGAACAUGAAGAUGGCAUGACUUUCACUUA
Long non-coding RNA from Hemicordylus capensis (graceful crag lizard), 1275 nucleotides. RefSeq lists it as uncharacterized. The transcript has 4 exons. Lineage: Eukaryota; Metazoa; Chordata; Lepidosauria; Squamata; Cordylidae. The record is from RefSeq and is a predicted model, not a curated record.